Molecule: ribosomal RNA, 440 nt
Filed under: uncultured bacterium
Lineage: Bacteria
Description: partial 16S ribosomal RNA
Rfam family: Bacterial small subunit ribosomal RNA
Source: RNAcentral
CCUACGGGCGGCAGCAGUGGGGGAUAUUGCACAAUGGGGGAAACCCUGAUGCAGCGACGCCGCGUGAGUGAAGAAGUAUUUCGGUAUGUAAAGCUCUAUCAGCAGGGAAGAAAAUGACAGUAACUGACCAAGAAGCCCCGGCUAACUACGUGACAGCAGCCGCGGGAAUACGUAGGGGGCAAGCGUUGUCCGGAGUUGCUGGGUGUAAAGGGAGCGUAGACGGUUAUGUAAGUCUGGAGUGAAAGCCCAGGGCCCAACCCGUGGACAGAUUUGGAAACUGUGUAACUGGAGUACAGGAGAGGCAGGCAGAAUUCCUGGUGUAGCGGUGAAAUGCGUAGAUAUCAGGAGGAACACCGUCGGCGAAGGCGGCCUGCUGGACUGAAACUGACGUUGAGGCUCGAAAGCGUGGGUAGCAAACAGGAUUAGAUACCCGUGUAGUC